This is an RNA transcript of Octodon degus (degu), 655 nucleotides long. It is a transcript of the gene named signal peptidase complex catalytic subunit SEC11A-like, with no coding region annotated. NCBI's taxonomy places the organism in Eukaryota, Metazoa, Chordata, Mammalia, Rodentia, Octodontidae. The record is from RefSeq and is a predicted model, not a curated record. The transcript is spliced from 3 exons.
AUGCUCUCUCUAGACUUUUUGGACAAUGUGCGGUGAAUGAACAGGAGGCAGUGGCAGCAUGGAGCCUUAGGGGAAAUUGUUGUUUUUAGGAUAGAAGGAAGAGAGAUUCCUAUAGUUCAUCGAGUCUUGAAGAUUCAUGAAAAGCAAAAUGGGCAUAUCAACUUUUGACCAAAGGAGAUAAUAAUGCUGUUGGUGAUCGAGGCCUCUAUAAACAAGGACAGCAUUGGCUAGAGAAAAAAGAUGUCGUGGGGAGAUCCAGGGGAUUUGUUCCUUAUAUUGGAAUUGUGACAAUCCUCAUGAAUGACUACCCUAAAUUUAAGUAUGCAGUCCUUUUCUUACUGGGUGUGUUCGUGCUGCUCCAUCGUGAGUAAGAAGGCUGCCUUGCUGUUCCUGGGAAGAUGCUGUGCUUUUUGUUGCUCAGUGUUCAGAGUGAAUACUGGGUCUGUGAUUGAUGGAGUGAAGGAUACACAUGUUGGCACUUCUUGGUGGCACUGGUUGGCAUUAGUUUAUGUUUCCACGCCAGAAUCUGUGGGUGGGCGCAUGUGCACCACGGAGUGCACUGGAGGGGACUUUCAACCACAGGAUUUCAUAUGUUGUCAUUGUCAAACUUUCACAUUUUUGUACAUCAAUGACUUUUUUAUAUUAAAAGGUUGAG